GGACGUCAGAGAGAAAGGACGGGAUAAUAAAAACAGAGUGCCAGGAGUUUGAAGACUUGAACGCAAUCCCAAUAGUAAAUGAGUAUCUGCUAAUGAAGUGCAGCGUAAGGAAGGUUAGUUGUAGCUCAAACCUCUUGGCUGAAGCACUGGUGCCAAAUUAACACCUACCCUUCACUCGCUAGCAUGUCCUCCAGCACUUGGGUUCAUUUCCCUUACCUUAUCCCGCGUGAAUCCUCCCUUUGACGUCUUUGUGCUCAGGCCUUCUGCCUUUUCUUCCAUGCACCUCACAAACUCUGACUGCUUGGAAAACCCCACGGGCUGCUUUUUCACUUCAUUUCUUUUUUCCAUCCGGGAUUCAAACACAUCCGGACUGGACCUGCGCAGCUCCUGGAUCUUAUGGCGGUAUUUCCCGUAGAAGGGGUUCUCCUCCAGCACCUCCUCCCCCGGCCCCGUCGCCCUCCGGCACUGCGGGGCCGUCGCCCCCCGGCACGGCGGGGCCAGCAGCCCGAGCGGGCGCAGCGCGGCGCGGCUCCGCAGCGCGACCCCCAACCCCCAGCCCUGCGCCAGAGGCCCCGCCAUGGCGCCGCCGCCGCUCCCGCUCCG
Molecule: long non-coding RNA, 603 nt
Filed under: Gallus gallus (chicken)
Lineage: Eukaryota; Metazoa; Chordata; Aves; Galliformes; Phasianidae
Source: RNAcentral